UUCGGCUGCUCGAGUUGUAAUCUAGAGAAGUGUUUUCCGUGCCGGCCCAUGUACAAGUCCCUUGGAACAGGGCGUCAUAGAGGGUGAGAAUCCCGUCCUUGACAUGGACCCCCGGUGCUCUGUGAUACACUUUCAACGAGUCGAGUUGUUUGGGAAUGCAGCUCAAAAUGGGUGGUGAAUUCCAUCUAAAGCUAAAUAUUGGCGAGAGACCGAUAGCGAACAAGUACCGUGAGGGAAAGAUGAAAAGCACUUUGGAAAGAGAGUUAAACAGUACGUGAAAUUGUUGAAAGGGAAACGAUUGAAGUCAGUCAUGCUCUUUGGUAUUUAUAUCAUUGAGUGGGGUCAACAUCAGUUUUGAGCGAUGGAUAAAGGCACUAGGAAGGUAGCACUCUCGGGUGAACUUAUAGCCUAGCGUCAUAUACAUUGUUUGGGACUGAGGAACGCAGCAUGCCUUUAUGGCCGGGAUUCGUCCACGUACAUGCUUAGGAUGUUGACAUAAUGGCUUUAAACGACCCGUCUUGAAACACGGAC
RNAcentral lists this ribosomal RNA (531 nucleotides) under Naganishia diffluens. RNAcentral's name for it is "eukaryotic LSU rRNA". It matches the Rfam family "Eukaryotic large subunit ribosomal RNA", at positions 129 to 666 of the family's 3401-position model. The record is from RNAcentral. Lineage: Eukaryota; Fungi; Basidiomycota; Tremellomycetes; Filobasidiales; Filobasidiaceae.